GUGACCUCGGAUCAGGUAGAA
RNAcentral lists this ribosomal RNA (21 nucleotides) under Fusarium equiseti. Its description in RNAcentral is "partial 28S ribosomal RNA". Lineage: Eukaryota; Fungi; Ascomycota; Sordariomycetes; Hypocreales; Nectriaceae. The record is from RNAcentral. RNAcentral also lists the same sequence under 2 other names.